Molecule: transfer RNA, 72 nt
Filed under: Camelus dromedarius (Arabian camel)
Lineage: Eukaryota; Metazoa; Chordata; Mammalia; Artiodactyla; Camelidae
Also listed under: 1 other name
Rfam family: tRNA
About the family: Transfer RNA (tRNA) molecules are approximately 80 nucleotides in length.
Source: Rfam by way of RNAcentral
GCAGGUAUAGCUCAGUGGUAGAAUGCGUGCUUAGCAUGAAGAAGGUCCCGGGUUUAAUCCCCAGUAACUGCA